UACGGAGGAUGCGAGCGUUAUCCGGAUUUAUUGGGUUUAAAGGGUGCGUAGGCGGUCCGGAAAGUCAGCGGUAAAAGCCCGGGGCUCAACCCCGGCGAGCCGUUGAAACUGUCGGACUAGAGACGGCGAGAAGUACGCGGAAUGCGCGGUGUAGCGGUGAAAUGCAUAGAUAUCGCGCAGAACUCCGAUUGCGAAGGCAGCGUACCGGCGCCGGACUGACACUGAGGCUCGAAAGCGUGGGGAGCAAACAGG
RNAcentral lists this ribosomal RNA (252 nucleotides) under uncultured bacterium. RNAcentral's name for it is "partial 16S ribosomal RNA". It matches the Rfam family "Bacterial small subunit ribosomal RNA", at positions 524 to 776 of the family's 1533-position model. The record is from RNAcentral.